Molecule: ribosomal RNA, 442 nt
Filed under: uncultured bacterium
Lineage: Bacteria
Description: partial 16S ribosomal RNA
Rfam family: Bacterial small subunit ribosomal RNA
Source: RNAcentral
CCUACGGGAGGCAGCAGUGGGGAAUAUUGGGCAAUGGGCGCAAGCCUGACCCAGCAAUGCCGCGUGAAGGAAGAAGGCUUUCGGGUUGUAAACUUCUUUGACAGGGGAAGAGCAGAAGACGGUACCCUGAAAACAAGCCACGGCUAACUACGUGCCAGCAGCCGCGGUAAUACGUAGGUGGCAAGCGUUGUCCGGAUUUACUGGGUGUAAAGGGCGUGUAGCCGGGAAGGCAAGUCAGUUGUGAAAUCUGGAGGCUCAACCUCCAAAUUGCAUUUGAAAUUGUUUUUCUUGAGUACUGGAGAGGCAGACGGAAUUCCUUGUGUAGCGGUGAAAUGCGUAGAUAUAAGGAGGAACACCAGUGACGAAGGCGGUCUGCUGGACAGCAACUGACGGUGAGGCGCGAAAGCGUGGGGAGCAAACAGGAUUAGAUACCCCAGUAGUC